This 126-nucleotide transfer-messenger RNA is filed under the name Chloroflexota bacterium. Its description in RNAcentral is "Chloroflexi bacterium (anaerobic digester metagenome) transfer-messenger RNA". It matches the Rfam family "transfer-messenger RNA". From Rfam's summary of the family: Bacterial tmRNA, also known as 10Sa RNA or SsrA, is named for its dual tRNA and mRNA-like properties. Its role is to liberate the mRNA from a stalled ribosome. Lineage: Bacteria; Bacillati; Chloroflexota. The record is from RNAcentral.
GGGGAUGACUGGCUUCGAUGGGGUGACGGGUGCGCGGUAGGUCGAAGGCGCAUUGACUCAAAACCGAAACGCACAGCAACAACCGUCACGGCUCAGACCAGGGUUCGAUUCCCUGCAUCUCCACCU